GUCAGGUGUGAUGCCUUAUACCUGUAAUCCUAGCAAUUUGAGAGGCCAGGGUGGGAGGAUCACUUGAGGCCUUGAGUUCAAGACCAGCCUGGGCAACAUAGUGAAACCCUGUCUCUACAAAAAAUUAGAAAAAUUAGCUGGGCGUGGUGGUGCUUGCCUGUAGUUCCAGCUGCCCAGGAAGCUGAGGCAGGAGUAUCACGUGAGCCCAGGAAUUUGAGGUUGCAGUAAGUUAUGAUCACACUACUGCAUUCCAGCCUGGGCGAUGGUGAGACCCUGUCUCAGUAAAAAAAAAAAAAAAAAAAGUGUAAUUUAUAUUUAUACAAAAUUGGCUUGAAUUGGAAUUGGGGUUUGUCUGGUUUUUGCUUUAUUUAUGUGUAUAUGUAUGUUUUAUUUAUGCAUAUAUAUACACACACAUAAUAUAUAUACACAAAUAUUUUUAAAAUAUUAUUUAUAUAUUUACAUAUAAAGUAUGUAUGUAUAAAAUACGUGUAUUUAUAUAUAAAUAUUAUAUAUAUUUUAAAAUAGAGACACAUUCACUCUGUUGCCCAGGCUGUAGUGUAGUACAGUGAUCAUAGCUUACUGCAGUCUUGAACUCCUAGCCUGAAGCAAUCUUUCCACUUCCCAAAGUGCUAGGAUUACAGGCAUGAGCCACUGUGGCCGGCCUGUCAUUUGUUUUCAUUUUAAUUGAGCACAUUUGACCUCAAUUUAUUACAAUCUCUCUCUCCAUUAUUUAAUUUAGAAAAGCUUCAUGAAAGCUUUUUUUAGUUAAAAUAUAUGUAACAUAAGGCCGGGCGUGAGCCACCACAUCCAGCCUCUAGUGGCUGUUUCUAUAUCCUUUGAGAAACAUUUAUUUUUUUGAUUCCAAAGUCAGAAUUAGAUAUAUCUAAUAUAUGUAUUAGAUAUAUGUAUAUCUAUAUUAUAUACAUAACUUUCUAUUGCUGUUUUUUAAUUGUUCCUUUAUUGUAAUUGAGACGAGGUCUCACCGUGUUGCCUAGGCUGGUCCCAAACUCAUGGGUUCAGGUGAUCCACCCACCUCGGCCUCCCAAAAUGCUGGAAUACAGGCAUGCACCACUGUGCCCGGCCCGCUUUUCUGUGGCUUCUACUUCAGAUGCACUCUAGAGCUCAUCCAUUCCAUUUUCUGCCUUCCCAGAUUGGAACCAACCAGAUGGCUGUGUGUGCCAAAGCACAGAACAAACCUUUCUAUGUGGUUGCAGAAAGUUUCAAGUUUGUCCGGCUCUUUCCACUAAACCAGCAAGACGUCCCAGAUAAGUUUAAGGCAAGAGUUUUACAUAUUUGAAGGGGUACUAAAGUCUAAACAGAAACCUUUGGAAAUUGUAGUCCUAAGAAUGUUCCAGUAAUUUUUUCACUUCCUAUUGCUACUUUCCCCAACACUUGGAAUACAAAGAUAAAUUGGUGAUUGGACUCACACAUUUGUCCCUAGAACUUCAGUCUUUCAGUCUCUUUAAGUAGCACCAUAGAUGGGUGGAGAGGAAGCCCGAAGCUGGUGGGUAAGUCCCAGCUUUGGGCUUAACUGAGCUCAGCUCCCAUCACCACAACUUACAAACUGUGCGAGUUGAGGCAAGUCCUUUCAUUUCAACCUCUGAACCGGUUUUCUUGUCUGUAAAAUGGCAUAGCAGUAUCUGACAGGGUCAUGAGGAUUCUAAGAUAAUCUUAGCACAGUCCCUGGCACGCUGCAAGCUCUCUAUUGUGACUCUCGAUCUUCCCUUGAGAGGUCUGGAGAAGUUAAUCCGGCAUGAGAAUGAGGGGACAUGGGAUUUAAGUUUGUUACACUACAGCUCUCAGCCAGCACACUGCCAUGAUCUGGCUCAUGGCCACAACUCUGCCCUCGUCUCUAGUGUCCUGCAUAGCUUAGUUUCUCCCAUUUUCAGAGAGCAGUCUCAGGAAGUAGCACACUGAUCACUCACACCAAGGCCCUACCAGGUCAGAGCACUAAAUAUUCAGUGCCGACUAAUGUGUACUUCUCUCCUCAGUAUAAGGCAGACACUCUCAAGGUCGCGCAGACUGGACAAGACCUCAAAGAGGAGCAUCCGUGGGUCGACUACACUGCCCCUUCCUUAAUCACUCUGCUGUUUACAGACCUGGGCGUGCUGACACCCUCAGCAGUCAGCGAUGAGCUCAUCAAGCUCUAUCUGUAACCUGUGAGCCCUUUCCUGCCAAGGUGCAGCUUACGUAGUUGAGGCAGGGUGAGUAGCUGCUUGACACCCCAGUGAGUCAGGCCAAAACUGAGAUGUGUUUAAUGAAGAUUUAUGGAGUAAGGACUUAAAAUCAUACAUCUUGGAGAACCUUUCUUACUCAUUUCAGUCCCAUCUAAAAAUGUGUCAGCUAUUCUAAAUCCCAACUUAAAUUGUUCUUACGGUUUCUAGAAACUUUCCUUUUCAGUUUCCAGAAAUACAAGUUAGAUAAUUGGCUACUUAACUGAUGAAAGAUGAGCCCAAGUCCACCUGUCUUCAUCCUCCCCUGCACUCCAGACUGAUCUGCCUAAAGCACGCGAGAUGCAGGCGAAAAGCAGCCACACCCCUCUGCCACAAAUGACCAACAGCUGGUCAGGACGUUACACGCGGUGCCUUGUAAGAGGCAAGAAACACUUGCUGAAUCUGCAUCUGGCUUCCAGUGGUAAGCACAUUCCUCAGCAGGAUCAAGCCAAACAGUAAAAACUACCAAGAGAACACGAGGAAGGCAGAAACGAUGUUUAGCAACAGUAUUCUGCAUGGUUCACUGCUUAAGAAAAUGCCUUCUGGAAUAUUUGUAAACUGAAAUUCUGUAUGUGUAAGAGAUGUUUAAAUAUGUUUGGGUCCUAAACAGCUUUUUAAAAUUAUACU
RNAcentral lists this long non-coding RNA (2840 nucleotides) under Homo sapiens (human). Its description in RNAcentral is "HSALNT0196403". Lineage: Eukaryota; Metazoa; Chordata; Mammalia; Primates; Hominidae. The record is from RNAcentral.